CCUUACCUGGUAGUUACCUCCACCAUUUUCUAGCCCAUGUCUCCAAAACUCAACCUCCUACAAACCUGAGUAGUGCUCUAAAGUCAGUUGAGGAGGUAUUAUUAUAUAAUGUACCUUAGAAGCAAUAGUUCAUAUCUUUAAAUCUAAUGUUAUUCAAGGGUUCGGCUUUUGGAAGGGGAAAAAUAGGAGAAUCAAAUACACUCUGUUUGGGAAGGAACAAAUCCGAUGUAUCUUCAGGUAUCGCUUGGGAAUAUGCAUCAAUUUAGCCAAGCAGAACAGAGCAAACACUAUGGCAGAUAGCAAUGACAUUGUGGACCAGAUGGAUCAGAGGUUGGCAACUAUGAGGAGAUGGAUGAAUGAUGAUGAUGUUGAAGAGUAGUUAAGAGGAAAAAGCUGAUGAUGAUCGUGGUAAAGAAAAGCAUGUUGGGCUGCUUACUUUGCCACCACAUGGUUCUGAGAUUUUCAUUGGGGGGCUUUCUAAGGAUGUGGUUGAGGAAGAUUUGAGUGAAGUUUGUGAACCUUUUGGGGAUGUUGUUUAGGUAAGUUUGGUGAGAUAUAUGGAGACCAAUGAAGGUAAGGGUUUUGCAUUUGUGGCAUUUAGAAGUAAAGAUGAUGUUCAAAAGGCCAUUGAAGAACUACAUAACAAAGAUUUUAAGGUGUGGAUCAUACAUAGCCAAUCAAGGGAAAAAGAGGCUUUGUAAGAAAAAAUGUUGUUGCUUGAGGCCUUACAUAAUUAUGCAUUUUCAUCCGUAUACAGUCCCCCUAUUACACGAUCCCUAGCCCAGAUCUUAGCAACAACAUUUACAAUGAACUUCCAUACAGGCUGCCUUUAAAUCUAACACACUUGUCGUUUUAUGUUGGUGCUGCUGGUGGAAGAGUAUCAUAGUAAUGCGGACGAGAAGUUUGCAGAGGUAGUAUGCAUAUAUCAUUUUGUGCUUCAUGUUUGUUUAUACUACUAAACAGGAGCAAUUGUAAUUUGAUUUUCAUUUAUAGUUUUUUAAUUGGGUAUUUGUUAAAUUAGCCCUUUUUGUUCCACGCAACUGGUUUGAAGUUUUUUCUUCUGCUUGAGCUUAUAACAAGCACAAGCCUAAGUUUUUUGUUAUUUUGAUUUGCUCUGGAGCUGUAAUUUAGUAAGUUUAACCAUUUGGCCCCUUCCCUACGCAACAUCUGAUCCUCUAAGACAAUUGCGCCAUCACGGCACUGCUUGUAUCAGUCAAUAUAUGGUCACGUAAAGACUAGCUUAAUGCCAUCCAAUUGAUUGAAAUUACCUCAAACCUUGCUUUUUCGGAUUUUUAGGCAUAUUAUACGUGUAAAUAUUACAUUUUGAUGAAAC
Long non-coding RNA from Helianthus annuus (common sunflower), 1333 nucleotides. RefSeq lists it as uncharacterized. NCBI's taxonomy places the organism in Eukaryota, Viridiplantae, Streptophyta, Magnoliopsida, Asterales, Asteraceae. The record is from RefSeq and is a predicted model, not a curated record. The transcript is spliced from 6 exons.